Molecule: ribosomal RNA, 461 nt
Filed under: uncultured bacterium
Lineage: Bacteria
Description: bacterial SSU rRNA
Rfam family: Bacterial small subunit ribosomal RNA
Source: RNAcentral
GGGGAGGCAGCAGUGGGGAAUAUUGCACAAUGGGGGAAACCCUGAUGCAGCCAUGCCGCGUGUGUGAAGAAGGCCUUCGGGUUGUAAAGCACUUUCAGUAGGGAGGAAGGUAGUGUAGUUAACACCUGCAUUAUUUGACGUUACCUACAGAAGAAGCACCGGCUAACUCCGUGCCAGCAGCCGCGGUAAUACGGAGGGUGCGAGCGUUAAUCGGAAUUACUGGGCGUAAAGCGCAUGCAGGCGGCCUGUUAAGUCAGAUGUGAAAGCCCGGGGCUUAACCUCGGAAUUGCAUUUGAAACUGGCAGGCUAGAGUCUUGUAGAGGGGGGUAGGAAUUUCAGGUGUAGCGGUGAAAAUGCGUAGAGAUCUGAAGGAAUACCAGUGGCGAAGGCGGCCCCCCGGACAAAGACUGACGCUCAGAUGCGAAAGCGUGGGGAGCAAACAGGAUUAGAUACCCUGGUAG